GGGGCUGUAGCUCAGUUGGCUAGAGCACCUGCUUUGCAAGCAGGGGGUCGUGGGUUCGAUUCCCAUCAGCUCCACCA
This 77-nucleotide transfer RNA is filed under the name Actinomycetes bacterium. RNAcentral's name for it is "tRNA-Ala". It matches the Rfam family "tRNA". Rfam says of the family: Transfer RNA (tRNA) molecules are approximately 80 nucleotides in length. Their secondary structure includes four short double-helical elements and three loops (D, anti-codon, and T loops). Lineage: Bacteria; Bacillati; Actinomycetota; Actinomycetes. The record is from RNAcentral. RNAcentral also lists the same sequence under 8 other names.